CUGUCUUAGAAAAUGGGCAAAACAUGGGUCCUAGUGGAAUGAAGGGAGGAGCCACCGACCUGACAUUGUUCCUAAAAAGAACCUACUGAAAAAUAACUUUGACCCUGGAGAUGUUGUGGAUGUUGCCGAUGAGGAUGAAAGUUCACCAGCCACAGUUUUAGACUGUUUCUAAGACAACAAAGAAACUCUCAGGAGGAGGAUGUUCAGGAGAGGGGAAUUUACAGACACAGCACAAUAGACAUUUCCAGAUGUACCAAUAAAAGUUAUCAGGGCAGCACUCGGAAAAAUUAAAUGAUGAGCACAAGUUACAAGUAAGGGAAAUGGAGUAAAUGCAGCCUGCUGUGAAUUGGAUUCUGCUUUGGUCUACUUUUUUCUUUUAUUCUC
This is a long non-coding RNA of Danio aesculapii, 384 nucleotides long. RefSeq lists it as uncharacterized. Lineage: Eukaryota; Metazoa; Chordata; Actinopteri; Cypriniformes; Danionidae. The transcript has 3 exons. The record is from RefSeq and is a predicted model, not a curated record.